CUUGGUCAUUUAGAGGAAGUAAAAGUCGUAACAAGGUUUCCGUAGGUGAACCUGCGGAAGGAUCAUUAUAGAAAGUAAACGCGGGUCAAACCGUGAACUUCUAAACCUUCGACGAUUGACUCACGUUGCCUCGGCGGGUUCGCCCGCCAGAGGAUACAUCGAAACUCCUGUUUUAACGGUGUUGUCUGAGCUACAAGCAACGAAUCAAAACUUUCAACAACGGAUCUCUUGGUUCUGGCAUCGAUGAAGAACGCAGCGAAAUGCGAUAAGUAGUGUGAAUUGCAGAAUUCAGUGAAUCAUCGAAUCUUUGAACGCACAUUGCGCCCCUUGGUAUUCCGGGGGGCAUGCCUGUUCGAGCGUCAUUUCACCACUCAAGCCUGGCUUGGUGUUGGGCGACGUCCUCUUUUGGGGACGCGUCUCGAAACGCUCGGCGGCGUGGCACCGGCUUUAAGCGUAGCAGAAUCUUUCGCUUUGAAAGUCGGGGCUCCGUCUGCCAGAAGACCUACUCGCAAGGUUGACCUCGGAUCAGGUAGGGAUACCCGCUGAACUUAAGCAUAUCAAUAAGCGGAGGAAAAGAAACCAACAGGGAUUGCCUCAGUAACGGCGAGUGAAGCGGCAACAGCUCAAAUUUGAAAUCUGGCUCUUUUAGGGUCCGAGUUGUAAUUUGUAGAAGAUGCUUCGGGUGUGGCUCCGGUCUAAGUUCCUUGGAACAGGACGUCAUAGAGGGUGAGAAUCCCGUAUGUGACUGGCUGCCUUCGCCUAUGUGAAGCUCUUUCGACGAGUCGAGUUGUUUGGGAAUGCAGCUCAAAAUGGGUGGUAAAUUUCAUCUAAAGCUAGAUAUUGGCCAGAGACCGAUAGCGCACAAGUAGAGUGAUCGAAAGAUGAAAAGCACUUUGGAAAGAGAGUUAAACAGUACGUGAAAUUGUUGAAAGGGAAGCGCUUGCAACCAGACCUGCCUGCAGUUGCUCAUCCGGGCUUUUGCCCGGUGCACUCUUCUGCUGUCAGGCCAGCAUCAGUUCGGGCGGUCGGAUAAAGGCUUCGGGAAUGUAGCUCCUCUCGAGGAGUGUUAUAGCCCGUCGCGAAAUGCGGCCAGCCUGGACUGAGGUCCGCGCUUCGGCUAGGAUGCUGGCGUAAUGGUUGUAAGCGGCCCGUCUUGAAACACGGACC
RNAcentral lists this ribosomal RNA (1167 nucleotides) under uncultured fungus. Its description in RNAcentral is "eukaryotic LSU rRNA". The stretch from base 516 to 1167 matches the Rfam family "Eukaryotic large subunit ribosomal RNA", at positions 1 to 667 of the family's 3401-position model. Lineage: Eukaryota; Fungi. The record is from RNAcentral.